This 497-nucleotide ribosomal RNA is filed under the name uncultured bacterium. Its description in RNAcentral is "partial 16S ribosomal RNA". It matches the Rfam family "Bacterial small subunit ribosomal RNA", at positions 28 to 507 of the family's 1533-position model. The record is from RNAcentral.
GAUGAACGCUGGCGGCGUGCCUAAUACAUGCAAGUCGAGCGAACAGAUGAGGAGCUUGCUCCUCUGACGUUAGCGGCGGACGGGUGAGUAACACGUGGAUAACCUACCUAUAAGACUGGGAUAACUUCGGGAAACCGGAGCUAAUACCGGAUAAUAUAUUGAACCGCAUGGUUCAAUAGUGAAAGACGGUUUUGCUGUCACUUAUAGAUGGAUCCGCGCCGCAUAAGCUAGUUGGUAAGGUAACGGCUUACCAAGGCAACGAUGCGUAGCCGACCUGAGAGGGUGAUCGGCCACACUGGAACUGAGACACGGUCCAGACUCCUACGGGAGGCAGCAGUAGGGAAUCUUCCGCAAUGGGCGAAAGCCUGACGGAGCAACGCCGCGUGAGUGAUGAAGGUCUUCGGAUCGUAAAACUCUGUUAUUAGGGAAGAACAAAUGUGUAAGUAACUAUGCACGUCUUGACGGUACCUAAUCAGAAAGCCACGGCUAACUACGUG